RNAcentral lists this small RNA (2423 nucleotides) under Rattus norvegicus (Norway rat). RNAcentral describes it as "uncharacterized LOC108350049". Lineage: Eukaryota; Metazoa; Chordata; Mammalia; Rodentia; Muridae. The record is from RNAcentral.
CUCCUCCUUUCAUUUACUGGUUCAAGAAACACUGAUUGUAUUCCAAUUGAGUUGGGUGGGCUGGAUGUGUAACUGGUGGGCUGUGGGGAUGCCUCAAAUAUCUGUAGAAUGAGUAAAAAGUUAUUUGUGAAAUAAGCUUAUUAUUAAUUGCUUUGACUGAUGUGUUAUCUCUUAUUCUUUGCAGGUCGCUCUGAGGUGACAGUGAUCAUCAGGACUCCUGUUCUUGUCUCACCAGUCGAGUGUGCGAGCCAUCCUAAAACUCAGUGGCUGAAGAUGAGAGCUGUCCCAUUUGCUCACGACUCUGCAGUUAGAGCUGAAUCCAACUGCGUGGCUCUUUUGCCAGCCUUACCAACGCAUCACUCGACAGCUAUGGGUCAAGCUCAGCUGAAGGUUGGCCUGACUGGGCCUCUUCCCACCCGUCUCUGAUGAUAGCUUCAUGCUUGACUCCUCCAAACAAUCUUCACAUAGAAAGCAGACAUCUUCCGUACCUCCCCAGGACUGUCAAAAACGCAGAAGCUGUCCACCCAUCACAUUCACAGUUCGAGACCAGAAAGGGACAUGUGAGCCAGGGGAACGAGCCAAGUGAAUUUGGAACCAAUCCCCCCACAGUUGAAGUCCUCACUCCCAAUAACCGAGAAUUCAGUCCUAUUUGGAAGCUGGAUUCUUGAGAUGCCAUUCCGUGAGAUAAGAUCACAGUACUGUGGGGUUGGAAUCUUUCAUAUCUAAGACACGUAGCAGAGUCUGGCUGGCUGAAGAGCUUUUCAGAGAAGAUCCCCUAAACUGACAGCCAGUGUCAUUUCCCAAGCUGAGCAUAGAUCAAUUAGAAAUUAAAAACAAACAAACAAACAAACGGGUAUUUGGCAUAUCAAUUUAUCCUUUCUUUCUCAAAGAGCCUGACCUCAGGGGUCAUCUCCAGAGCGCACUUCAGGGUCCCUAGAACUGAAGCUGUUGCAGUAGGCCCUGUCAAGGUCAGUGAGAGGCGCUGCCUGCUCAGCCAUCUGCCCCUCGCUCCUUGACGUCUUUUUAAAUUAAACCCCACGCCCUGUGGUAAAAUUGCUCUCGCUCUAUAAAUAGCAGGCUUGGCUUGGAUUGCCCUGCAAAUGCUGCAGGAGAAGGGUGUCAGAGCAAAGAAAAAGGAGGGCCACAAACCCAAGGGCACAUUUCUCGGUCAGAUGAUUGCAGUCUCUUAGGAAAUCCGAGAAUUCUCCCUGUAAAGCCUCCUGUCUCCCUUCUCUGGAGUCUUCCUUGUCUAAGAUCUCUUCCGUACUGGAGUGAACAACUCACAUUUCCCUUCCUCCAUAUUCUCCAGAUUGAAUUUGUUCUGGAUCAGGAAAUUGCGGCUGGGUUACUGUACGUAUACUAGCUCCUCUCUGUAGACCUAGGACAUGCUUCUAAUUACAGUUCCAUAGUUAGUGAGUUAAAACAGAAGCUGUCCACAGGCACACAUGGCUCCUGAUGCUUCUUCCUACAGCCACACUGUUAUAGCAGAGGAGUACAGUUUCAUAACCCACUGGCCUGAGUUUUUCUAGGCUGUUGCAGCCUCACACCUGCUCCCUGGGAAGGACUCGGAUGGCUUCCUAAAGUCCCCUGCACAAUUAUCUCUAAACUCUCAACCCACCUGACUAGAAGCACUUUCCUUCCGUUGGCUGCCACACUUGGGUCACCUCCUCGCGGCUGUCACCACUCCACAGUCGGGGAAAAAAAACCCUACUUCCAGUACCUAAUGAUGGUAACACCUUCCGAGUAAUGUCUCAAAACAAUAGAUACAGAACACAGGGGUCGAGGACUGGACAUGUCCCUGGACUCACAAGUCCUGAGGAGGUCUCCAUUUCGUCUUCUCUCACCAGAAGCUUCCCCUCCUGGGAUGAUUCUGAGACUAUGUCUUCACAGUGGACUUACUGCCAGCCCUAUGCACACCAACUUCACACCACUGGGAUUGGAAAAGCUGGACAGAGGCACUGGCAAGGUGGCCCAGUGAGUAGGGAUAUUGCUGCCAAGCCUGAUGACCUGAGUUCAAUCCCUGGAGCCCAUUCAGUGAAGGAAGGGACCAACAACCAAGUUGUUCAUGAUCUCAACACGUGUGGUGUAAGUGUGCCCCCUGCCCAUCAACCAACAAGUGAGGGUAAAAAGAAGAGCAGGCAAGCAUGGUAGAAAGGUCAGUGCAAUGGAAUGCCCCAGAUGUUCUGGGUCACUCUCUAGGUGUCUAACAGGGGCUGUUUGUAGAACUUUUGUGCAGAAUUGCUUUUCAAAGUGUUUGGCUAAGUAGAACUGAAGGAUCCUAGUUCUUACUAAAGUGUAAGAGCUAUUAAGAGGCUUGGCCUGGUAGAACGUAGGUAGGUUAUGGGGACCUAGGGAUUUUUGCCAGUUUUACACCCACCGCCUCAGGUCAAGAUUAGGCCAACUACCAGCUUCCCACCUCCAGU